AUAUAUAUAUAUAUAUACACUAGGGCUGAAACAAUUACUCGACAUUAUCGACAACGUCGACGAUAAAAAUAAAAUUUUCAGCAAAUGUUUUUGAGUAACGUUAGUGGUUUGAUCUCGUAUCUGCCUGAUUUGAAAGCCUGCAUUAAUGCAGUUUGACCAGUGUGGCGCUGUAGCGCAAGAUUGUAAUACACUCUCCUGAUUCAAUUAAAAAGAAGAAGAUAGCACUUCAGUUUGAGGCAAACCGACCCGAUCCGAACCUUGGAUGAAUAUGUUUGUGCAGAAUUUGAGACAUCCAGAAUUACCAUAGGCCCAUUAGAAUCAACAAUCUUUGCCAAACUUGAUUCGGACUGCAAAAUUUACGAAGAUGUUUUCAUACUGAAGAAGAGACCUUGGACAAAUACUGAAACCCUCUUGGUGCCCACUACACAGGCAGGGGUGUCCAGACCUGCUCUAGGAAAGCCAGUGUUCUGUGGGGUUCAGCUCUAACACACCUGCCUGGAACUUCAGACUAAUGAAAUUGAAGUAUCCAAAUGAAGACCCUAGCAGUAUGGAGUAUAUGGAUACAGACGUUGCCAGCAGUCAGGAGGUGAUCCAGAAGACUCAUGGGAAUCUAUUUGAAGCUGCAUCAUUGAAGACAGUCCAGCAGAAGUUGGAGUUUUAAAGGAUAAAGUUCUUCAGGACCUAUAGCAGUUUACAGUCUGUAAAACCAUGUUACUGGGACUGAUUUAUGGACUGAACUUGAGCAACCCUCCUGAACUCAGGUACACAUUUGGAAUACUGAAGAAGUUAUUUCUGGAGCCACUUCCUGUUCCUGGAAUAAGGUUUGAUUGGUUGCCCAUGAAUGCCAAUUAGAAUUGUAUUUGCUAUUUUGUGUAAUUUUGUAAUGUGGUUUAAACUGUAUUUUACUGUGUGUAAUUAUUUAUUGCUUGUUUAACAAAUACACUUUGAUCAUUUGUGA
Long non-coding RNA from Carassius gibelio (silver crucian carp), 958 nucleotides. RefSeq lists it as uncharacterized. NCBI's taxonomy places the organism in Eukaryota, Metazoa, Chordata, Actinopteri, Cypriniformes, Cyprinidae. The record is from RefSeq and is a predicted model, not a curated record. The transcript is spliced from 5 exons.